GCCCGCGGGGCUCAGUGGUUGAGCGUCCGCCUAUGAACCAGGAGGUUAUGGUUCAAUUCCCAUCAAGGGCA
This 71-nucleotide transfer RNA is filed under the name Myotis lucifugus (little brown bat). It matches the Rfam family "tRNA". From Rfam's summary of the family: Transfer RNA (tRNA) molecules are approximately 80 nucleotides in length. Their secondary structure includes four short double-helical elements and three loops (D, anti-codon, and T loops). The record is from Rfam by way of RNAcentral. Lineage: Eukaryota; Metazoa; Chordata; Mammalia; Chiroptera; Vespertilionidae.